UUUUCCAGUUUUGUUUUUUAAUUUUUAUUCUUUUGUAAUGUACAGAAAACCAACUUACAGUUUAACACAAGACACUACUGAAAAUACACAAUCACAGAUUGUUCUUUCAGGAAAUACAGUAUAUACAGAGAAUUGUAAACAUGUCAUUUUGUCCCCAGACACACAGGCCACACCAUCCACAAAUAGUCACAUCAUAGAACAGACACGUUUUGAAAGUCUUCCCGUAUCCCAAAGAGGCAGUGUAGAGAUUUGGUUACAGUUUACAGUGAGACUCCAUUCAACCUCGUUUCUCUACCAGUCUCAAAACAGCAAACGUUUAUCAUGGAUUAUGGCGAAUGUAGACCCAACAUCAGCUAAGGGCACAAAUAAGUAAAGUCUAUAUUUAUGGCAGUACUGUACUUACAGCUCUUUGUGUUCCUAAGUGUAUAUAGUUCAAUUUUUUGACAUAGGUAGGGAUCUGGUAGAGCCAAUGUUUGGUAUGUAACUAUGCUUGUAUUUGUACGAUUCUUUGUCACGUAAAGUUAAACUCAUGGUAAAAAUGUCCAGGCAAAGUACAACGUGGCAAAUCGUACGUUGGUUUUAUUUUACUAAAACCCAACCAGUAACUCUGCAGAUAUUGGGUUUCCAUUCUAAUCGUUUUAAGCUUAGUAUUGUCAAGAAUCAUGGAACUUUAACAACUGCUGCUCUUGGCUAUCUAUUCAAGUUCUGAUUAAUAGUGUGUUUUAUUAUUUCAUAUUUCUGAUUCUUAUCCACUUAAAUGAGCAGUUUGAUAAGCCAAUUCAGAUCAUGGAUAUCAAAGUCCAAAUGAUUGACCCAAAGAGCUACGCAUCUGCUAGUGCUGUGUGUCUCCCCUGACCCUCUUGCUAUAUUAUAAUGCAAAUUGGAAUAGAUUUAAGACAUUCCUAAACCCUGCACAUCUGACCGUUAUUGACAGAUGGUUGGGGAACCUCUAUGCUAGCAGAUGGGUUUAUGGUAAAACAAGUAAGUCGUGUAAGGGUCAAUGUUGAUCUCAUGAAGAAUUACUUCUGAUGCGUCCCUACAGCUUUGUACAAAAAAGUUAACGCAAGUACAGUAUUUAUCACCACAAAGAAUGUAUAAGACUCACUUCUCAAUUCUAAAAAACCUCCAGAAAAAAUAAGGCCACUGUGUAUAGAAUAUUAAUCUAAACUCUGUGCCAGCCUUUAAUUUGAAUGUAAACCUCUCUGAAAUCUUUUAAUUAUAUGUUGUGCAUUGCAAUAUGAAUUGGCAGGGAAAGGGUUCAGUUUAAAAGUUGUGUUGGCAAAAAGUAGAAGCAUUGGUAAUAUUCUAAAUUCACAACUAGGUGGUGCUCUAUAGUCAUUAUUACUGACACUUUGUAAUUGAAUAUGGUAGUCCUUGUUCCCUGUAUGGAGGUAAUGUUACUUACAGCCCAAGUAAUGCAGAUUGAUGUACAUAUUAACUGUUUUUGGCACAGGACUUGUAUCUGGGUAUAUAUUGGCACUAUGGCAAAGAACCACCAACCAAUGCUCAGUUGUAUCGAAAUCCCUGCUUCUGCUCAGUAGUGCCAAUUGACAGUAUUACCUGUGCUAGUCGAGUCCAGCAUGUUUAUUUGGACACAUACUAAGCCUACAUGCUGAAAUCCUACAAGUGAUCAUUCAGAGAGAGGUACCCUGCAGUUUGUGAAUCCACGUUGCGGGGCAGUGCUUUUCCUGCACUGCACAUCAUUCUGUAUAUGUGUCCUGGAAAACUUGGUGGAUAAGGCGAACAUAUGUAGUGGGCCAGUGAAUACUAUAUUUUGUCUAUUCAGUUUUCAGGUUUACCCUAAGUUUAAAGGCACACGAUAGUCACCCAGACCAAUUCAUCUCAAUGAAGUUUGGGUGCAGUGUACCUGUCCUUUUAGCAACCAUGCAGUUUAAAUCCACAGUGGCUAUCAUACUGACAGACACUAGAGGCGCUUCUGUAGCACUGACUGCAUGUAAUUCAGUCAUGUGAUGCGGGUGCAGGGUGACACUAUAAAGAACUAGGGACUAUAGUGCUGAGAAUACAGGUUUGUAUCCCUAAAGCUCUACAGUUCGUUUCACACAGGGGAACCCAAAAGGUAGAUUUCCAGAUAAUUUUAAACUACAGUUUCCAUGAUGCUUUGUUUACAAAAGGCAUGUAAAGCAU
Pelobates cultripes (western spadefoot toad) is the source of this 2145-nucleotide non-coding RNA. The record is from the annotation of a GenBank genome assembly. Lineage: Eukaryota; Metazoa; Chordata; Amphibia; Anura; Pelobatidae.